UCUCAAAGCAUCACUACCUCAGCAAC
RNAcentral lists this non-coding RNA (26 nucleotides) under Rattus norvegicus (Norway rat). Lineage: Eukaryota; Metazoa; Chordata; Mammalia; Rodentia; Muridae. The record is from RNAcentral.